Molecule: ribosomal RNA, 441 nt
Filed under: uncultured bacterium
Lineage: Bacteria
Description: partial 16S ribosomal RNA
Rfam family: Bacterial small subunit ribosomal RNA
Source: RNAcentral
CCUACGGGAGGCAGCAGUGGGGAAUAUUGCACAAUGGGGGAAACCCUGAUGCAGCGACGCCGCGUGAGUGAAGAAGUAUUUCGGUAUGUAAAGCUCUAUCAGCAGGGAAGAAGAAAGACGGUACCUGACUAAGAAGCCCCUGCUAACUACGUGCCAGCAGCCGCGGUACUACGUAGGGGGCAAGCGUUAUCCGGAUUUACUGGGUGUAAAGGGAGCGUAGACGGCUGUGCAAGUCUGAAGUGAAAGCCCAGGGCUCAACCCUGGGAUUGCUUUGGAAACUGUGGAGCUAGAGUGCUGGAGAGGUAAGUGGAAUUCCUAGUGUAGCGGUGAAAUGCGUAGAUAUUAGGAGGAACACCAGUGGCGAAGGCGGCUUACUGGACAGUAACUGACGUUGAGGCUCGAAAGCGUGGGGAGCAAACAGGAUUAGAUACCCUUGUAGUC